Molecule: long non-coding RNA, 328 nt
Organism: Chiroxiphia lanceolata (lance-tailed manakin)
Lineage: Eukaryota; Metazoa; Chordata; Aves; Passeriformes; Pipridae
Exons: 3
Source: RefSeq, a predicted model, not a curated record
GCAGCAUCAACGACCUCCAGCUGGGCCUGUAAUCCCUCUGCUGCAGACGAGUGGGCAGGAAUACGUCUGGAAGUUGUGUUUCAGAUGCUCGAGGAGGUGCUUGCAUCAAACCUGCCUGAAAUGUUUCCCUUUCUUCAGGGGAAUAUUAGUGUUCCCUCUGAGUCAUUCAGGAGGGGAGCCUGGGAACAAGGCUGCAGCAGAGAAAGCUUUGCCUGGCAAUGCGAGCAGCGGGAACAGUUCCCUGGAGCCAAAUGAGCCUGAGGUCCAUGAGCUGUACCUCGCCAGGAGAGCUGCUCUGCGUGGGAGGAAGAGACGAGGGAGAGCCUGU